AGGUUCCCCUGCUACGUCACUCACAGAGGGAGUGGGAGACACAGCUGGCUAAUGUCAAGUGACUCGCCGUCUCUUCUUACCCAAACUCUAACCAAAAUGCGGUGCGAAUAUGGCUGAGUGAUCGCUGUUGUGUCGUAGAAGUGAUAAUUUUUUGUUUAGUGAAGCGUCUUGAACCAUCCGAGAUCCAAGAUGGAUAUGCUGGAUGGGGAGACGGUGUAUAACUCUCACGACGACUCGCAUAUCGUCAUGUCGGAGAAAGUGCAAUCCUUAGCAGGGAGUAUCUAUCAGGAGUUUGAGCGCAUGAUAGCGCGAUACGACGAGGAUGUAGUCAAGGAUUUAAUGCCCUUAGUGGUGAACAUAUUGGAGUGCCUGGACCUGGCCUACACCGAGAACCAGGAGCAUGAGGUUGAGGUGGAACUGCUGCGAGAGGACAACGAGCAGCUGGUGACGCAAUAUGAGCGGGAGAAGCAGCUCAGGAAAGCUUCCGAGCAGAAACUACUGGAGCUGGAGGAUGGCAUGGAAGAGGAGAAGAAGCAGUGCCAGUCCCGCGUGGAGACACUCGAGUCCAUUGUGCGCAUGUUUGAGCUCAAAAACAGAAAUGCUACCGACCAUGCGAAUCGGAUGGAAGAUAAGUCGGAAGAAAUGAAAAAGGAAUAUACAAAACUCCACGAUCGCUACACUGAGCUAUUCAAGACUCACAUGGACUACAUGGAGCGCACCAAAAUACUCAUGGGCACUGACCGACUUGACCAGCUGGGAACCUCCAGAGGCAGGAUCUCUGGGUUUACUUUAGGCAAUCUCAACAGUAUUCCUUUCAGGUCAUCGGGGCCGGUUUCCUUUGGCUUCAGCUCGCUAGAUCCUAAUAAAUCUAUAACUUCUCCGGUGGACAUGAGCGGGUCGGCGAAUGGCACCGUACAAAUCACAUCCCUCAGAAAUGAAUUGCAGGAGGCACAAGUUGGUCCCGACACACCAGUCGUACACACAGACAAAGGUCAGCUGACGGACACAAUUGAACAGGCUGAUCGGGAGACGGCCACAAAAGGGGGCUGGGUGGAUGGAUUCACUCCAGAAUCAGAAGAUAUGUCCUCUCCGGAAAUGGAGGACCUCGAGGACAUAUCUAUGGAUACCAGCAUUGGUCCUGAGGGUAGACCGCCCGGCAGAAUUAAGUCAACCACUACGAAACAUAAAGAAGAGCGAACAGGAAACACACUUUACCAAGAACUACAGUUCCAGGAACCUGAUGCCUUGGCUGAAAUGGAUGAAGGAGCAGAUAUCACAGACAGUGGGAGUGAGGAAGGUGGGAACUCUCCCACGUACUCGGUCACAGACAACUUCUUUGGAAUGGGUAAAGAAGUGGAAAACCUUAUCAUGGAGAAUAAUGAGCUGUUAGCUACAAAGAAUGCCCUAAACAUUGUGAAAGAUGACCUUAUUGCCAAAGUAGAUGAACUAACAAGUGAGCAGGAGAUCUUACGAGAAGAGAUCAAGUCUCUGAACGCUGUGAAAUCCAGAUUAAAAUUACGGAUUACCGAGUUGGAGGAUGAGGUGAAGAAGAUCAAGGAGGAAGCUGAGAAGAAUGCCAAAGCUAACAAGUCUGAUGAUGAGGAGGACGUUCCAAUGGCUCAGCGUAAACGGUUCACAAGAGUUGAGAUGGCACGUGUUCUUAUGGAACGUAAUCAAUACAAGGAACGGUUCAUGGAGCUGCAAGAAGCUGUACGCUGGACUGAAAUGAUCAGAGCCUCAAGAAAUGAUCCAAAUGUAGAUAAAAAGAACAAACAGACUAUAUGGAAAUUCUUUAGUAACCUGUUUAGUACAUCAGAAAAGCCACAGAGAAAGCCUCUUCCUUACGGUAACGUGCGCUACAGUGCCCCUGCCCAUCAGGUCACACCGGCGCUGGACACGAUGCGCAGGAAAAACCUGUCAGACCACAGACGCAAAGGUCUUGAGAUCUUCGAUACAGGAUUUGACAGUUCCGAAGAUGUGAGUCGGGAACCAUCCCCCCUCACAUUCCUCUCCCCCACCAUCAGUUCCUCAGAGAAGCUGCAACAACGGCGGGCCACUGAAAGAAGAGAACAAUACAAACAGGUCCGUGCACAUGUAAAGAAGGAUGAUGGUCGAAUGCAGGCAUAUGGGUGGAGUCUGCCUGCUAAGACAGGUCAAAAAGCCAUUGAGGGUCCCCAGGCCCAACCCAAGAGCUCUUCUUCCACACAUGUGCCUGUUCCUGUACCUGUAUACUGUCGUCCACUUAUGGAGAAAGAGCCAGGAAUGAAGAUUUGGUGUGCUGCUGGUGUGAACUUAACUGGAGGAAGAACCAAAGAUGGUGGGAAUAUCGUAGGCGCCAGUGUCUUCUACUCUGGCGACACGGAGACGACAAUAAUUAAACCAGAAGAUGAAAUUGACAAAUUAGACAUGGAACUUAAGGAACAUGAAAAAGAUAGAAAAGAGGGUGAGCUCCUGGAACAAACUCUCUCAUCCCUGGUCUGGAUAUGUACGUCGACCCACUCAAUUAGUAAAGUUACUGUCAUUGAUGCCAACAAUCCAGCAGACAUCCUUGAAUCAUUCCAUGUUUGCUCCUCACAUCUCCUCUGCAUAGCUAGCGUUCCAGGUGCCAAAGAGUCUGAUUACUCUAUUGAUGAAGAUUUGAAUAAAUUAGUCGAAGAGUCACAGCUAAAUAAUUGUGAUAACCCAGAUGAUGCUAGUGCCAAUGAUAAUAAGAGUAAAGAAGAGAGUGGACCAUCCAUGGGCACUCUUUCAUUCAUAAGUUGCGCUGCCGGCAGCGAAACGGGGACACCCGAUUCACCCACCGAGAAGGAGCCCGAAGAAAUUAAACCUGUUCUACGCAAAGAAACAAUCACCUGUACAGAUCCAGACCAAGAUGCGGACAGGGCAGAAGUAAUUGAAAAUUCAGAAGAGGAAGAAGUACCACCGCGAAGAUUACUUAAGGAGCCGGAGGGUAUUGUUAAAGAUGGAGUGGAAGAAGUACAACCUUCUGAAGACUCAAGUGUAGUAGCAGAGGAGGUUGAAAAGAUGUCAUCUGUCCUGUCAACCAUGUGGCUUGGCUCGCAGAGUGGCUCUAUAUAUGUUCAUUCAGCAGUCCGCCACUGGAAGCGUUGCCUACACUCGAUCAAGCUCAAGGACUCUGUGUUGUCCAUUGUACACAUCAAGGGUCGAGUUCUAGCAGCUCUUGCAGAUGGGACUGUGGCCAUAUUUCAUCGGCAAGGGGACGGGCAGUGGGAUUUAACGAAUUAUCAUCUCUUAGACUUAGGCAAACCUCAUCACUCCAUCCGGUGCAUGCAUGUUGUGCACAACAAAGUUUGGUGUGGAUACCGCAACAAAAUUCAUGUAGUUGAUCCUAGAAUCAUGAAUGUAGAAAAGUCAUUUGAUGCCCACCCUCGCAAAGAAUCACAAGUAAGACAGAUGGCCUGGAUUGGUGAGGGUGUUUGGGUGAGCAUUCGACUAGACUCAACAUUGCGGCUUUACCAUGCACACACUCACCAGCAUCUUCAAGAUGUAGAUAUAGAGCCCUAUGUAUCUAAGAUGCUUGGUGUCUUCCCCGGAGUACCUGUUCCAGGGACGGGCAAGUUGGGCUUCUCUUUUGUAAGAAUAACUGCCCUUCUCAUCUCUUCAAAUCGGCUGUGGAUUGGGACAGGGAAUGGUGUCAUUAUUUCUGUCCCUUUGUCUGAGAAUGCCAAUCCUCGACCAGUAGCAAGCAGUGGAAGUAGUGAGAACAGCACUGGUGGUGGAAGUACCAGUAGAGGGACUAGUGGAAGUAGUGGAGGCAUGAAUGCUGGAAGCAGUACCAGUAGGAUGCCCGGGGGUGUAAUCCGAGUAUAUUCCGACAAUAAGGACCAAGUGAUGCCAGGUUCUUUUGCACCAUAUUGCUCUAUGGCUCAAGCUCAACUUUCCUUCCAUGGGCAUAGGGAUGCUGUGAAAUUCUUUGUGGCUGUACCAGGCUCAGGUGGGUAUAAUGCCCUUACAGCCGCACCAACUGCGUCUUCGGUACGGGCCAUUACGGAUACUGAACACGACGAGGACGUUGAGCCCGAACAGAAGCCAAAGAGUAUGCUGGUAAUAUCUGGUGGAGAAGGAUACAUCGACUUCAGAAUUGCUGACGAGCGUGAGGAGGAUCGAGACACAGCCAGUCACCUACUAGUAUGGCAUAUACCUGUGGAGGACAAUCUUUCUCACCUCCAUGCCCAACCUAAUUCCUCCACUACCACCUCCUCCAACACCUCCACUACCACCAUUACCACCACAACCAACCCCAUCUCGGCAACCAUCAACGGUCAUUCGUAGCAGCCUUGCCAUCACCACUCGGACAGCUACAGCCUCUCAGCCAGCUACGGGUGAGGGGGAGGAGGAUGGAGCCCCUGAGCCGUCUGCAGAGUCACUGAGUCGCGGUGAUCGCUCUCACCUCAUCGUCUGGUCUGUGGCGCGGCCUCCUCUCUGAGGACGAGUCGUGCCUUGGAGGAGUGGACGUCAUCACAUUAAGGGAUUCCUCAUUUCUCAGAGCAAAUGUUCUUUCUUGCUGCUUAGUAUUAGUAUGGGCUAAUAUCCAGUGAGAACAUUUUUUAGAAUUCUAGCCUCAGAGCAGUGAAAAAGAUAUUGUGCUUUUGGGAUCUCUCAUAUGAUCAGACAAGUCACCACAUCACCAUUUUCUCAGGUUUUGGCAGAUGCUGAACAACCAGCUGUAUAAUGUGCACUAACUAAAUAUGGAAACAAAAUCUAAAUCUGAAAUAAUAUAUGUAUAUGUAUAUAUAAAAUAUACUGUAUAUAUAUGAAUAUAUUAUGUA
Procambarus clarkii (red swamp crayfish) is the source of this 4790-nucleotide non-coding RNA. The record is from RefSeq and is a predicted model, not a curated record. NCBI's taxonomy places the organism in Eukaryota, Metazoa, Arthropoda, Malacostraca, Decapoda, Cambaridae.